This 497-nucleotide ribosomal RNA is filed under the name uncultured bacterium. Its description in RNAcentral is "partial 16S ribosomal RNA". It matches the Rfam family "Bacterial small subunit ribosomal RNA", at positions 28 to 507 of the family's 1533-position model. The record is from RNAcentral.
GACGAACGCUGGCGGCGUGCCUAAUACAUGCAAGUAGAACGCUGAAGAGAGGAGCUUGCUCUUCUUGGAUGAGUUGCGAACGGGUGAGUAACGCGUAGGCAACCUGCCUUGUAGCGGGGGAUAACUAUUGGAAACGAUAGCUAAUACCGCAUAACAAUGGAUGACACAUGUCAUUUAUUUGAAAGGGGCAAUUGCUCCACUACAAGAUGGACCUGCGUUGUAUUAGCUAGUAGGUGAGGUAAUGGCUCACCUAGGCGACGAUACAUAGCCGACCUGAGAGGGUGAGCGGCCACACUGGGACUGAGACACGGCCCAGACUCCUACGGGAGGCAGCAGUAGGGAAUCUUCGGCAAUGGGGGCAACCCUGACCGAGCAACGCCGCGUGAGUGAAGAAGGUUUUCGGAUCGUAAAGCUCUGUUGUAAGUCAAGAACGGGUGUGAGAGUGGAAAGUUCACACUGUGACGGUAGCUUACCAGAAAGGGACGGCUAACUACGUG